Molecule: long non-coding RNA, 853 nt
Organism: Centropristis striata (black sea bass)
Lineage: Eukaryota; Metazoa; Chordata; Actinopteri; Perciformes; Serranidae
Exons: 2
Source: RefSeq, a predicted model, not a curated record
AGAAGGAAGAUAUUGCGCUCAUGGAUGAGCCGAUGGUAACAUACAAUGUCUCUGACUGUAGUUAUCUAAACGAGGACAAUGUUAAAGAUACUUUGAUAGCUCGGGAGUACAAGUCGAGCCGCAAGCUUCACAACAGCGGGCCUGCUAGCUGCUGUUCACCGGAGACGUGAGAAGACGUGACCUAGUUAAAGAGAUGACUGAUGAUGAGAAACAUUUGGUCCAUCUUGUGGAGCUCCAUACGACUCUAUGAGAGGAUGCAGUGUGAGAAGCAGCAACACCAGCAGACUGCCUACUUCCUUGAUGCAUGUGACAGUUUAAUUAUGAAAUAAUAAUAAAUAAAUAUGAAAUAAUAUAAAAUAUAUUCUGUAUUAUUAUUAUAUUAAAAGGGUCAUUGUCUGUAUAUAUAUUUUUAAUUAUAUGGAUAUGCACUUGUAAGUAAGUGUAAGUACAUGUGUGCACGUGGCUCGAUAUUUAAUAUUUUAUAAAUAUUCUUGAUAUUGAUAUUUUUUAAUUACUAUUAUAUUUAAAUACCCAUCAUAUUCUGUAUUACGUCAUAUGUACAGUAUAUUUGUUCAUAUUUUAUCAUUAUUGUAUUCCAUAUGUUUUGGAUACUUGUCUACAUGGGCUUCUAGGCCUGUACUGUGUUGUGUAUUGCUUUGAUUUUUGAAUUUAUUGGUGUGUUAUGUUGUUUAAGAGAGGGUUUUUUUGCUUUGAUUUUUGAAUUUAGUAGUGUGUUAUGUUGUUUAAUAGAGGGGUUUUGCUGUGAUUUUUAAUUCAGUUAUUUCUUAUUUUUUAAAUAUGUUAUCUUUGAUUUUUAAUUGUGUUCAGUUCAAUAAAGAUGAUGUUAAAGUCA